CGCCUCCGUCCGCCGCGCGCAGGACCGGGCUGCAGCCGGGCCGCGCUCUUUGGUUCCGGGGGCCGCCUCGCCCGGGCUGCAGCUCAGUUUUUGGGGUGGAUUCGAGCAGAUCGGGAGCGCUCACGCUCGCCAGUGAUCGAGGGAAACGUUCAAGGUGACUUCGGCGUUGUCGUAGUGAGAGCUCAGGUCCAGGUCCUCGUGCACGGAGUACUUGACCACGAAGGCUUUGUGGCUGUCCAGGCAGGCCCCGCCCAGCUCCGGGUACAGCAGCGCCGUGAUGGGCAGGAGCCGCUCCCGCAGCGGCGUCAGGAAAGGCUCGUCCAUGCCCAGCUCGUUCAGCAGAACCUGUGCCAAGACAACGGGGGGAGCAGCUCAGCCUCCUCAGAGCUCUGCCCUCCUCCAGCCCUGCUGCUGGCUCAGCUCAAGGACUUUGGAGCAAAGGGAAAAGGAAGGAGGAUCAAAGUGGAGAGGGAUGGGGGAAAACGCAGAGUAAUAAGAUUAAAAGGUGGCUUAAAAAGUGGCUGAGGACUUCUCUGUGUGUCAAGUGGAGCUGUGAGGUCUCAGCCCUUUCAGGCAUACUGACACCUCCAGAAUCUGGUUUUUGUUCUGACAAUAGAGGCAUUGUCCAAAAUAAAGACAUUUCCUGGGAGUGAGACAAGUCCUGUCAUGAAGGGAUUACUGCUAAAUGUGGUGGAGACAGGCUAAGCUGCCCUUGCAGAGCAAACAGCUGAUCCAGACAGCUCCUCCCGUUUAUUUCCCCCUCACGAGAUUCAUUUGUAGCAGUCCUCAGUGAGGAGAGAGUGAGCAGCCAUUCCCUGGGACAAAGCAGCUCCUGUGCUCAUUCCUUUUCCCUCAGUGUCAGGCCCUGAAGGUCUUGGCAACCAAGCAGACAAAUCCAACAGAUUUCUCAGCUUCCUUCCUCUCCCCCUCCCUCCCAGCCCCAAGGUCACAGGGCAGGGAUCUGUAACCCAGCACUGCCUAAAAAAUCAGAACUGAGUUCUAAGUGGGAAAUUUGGACUGGAAUUGCUGCUGGACAGGGAGAGCUGUGCCCUCCCCCAGCCAGGGACUGCCACUGUCAUCUGCUUCCUGCCAGCACUGAGUGACUCCUAUUUGUUUGUGUAAUUUCUAAGUCUCCUCUAUGAUGUUUAUAUUGAUACAGCAAACCUUGUAUGAAGGUCUGAGCAGAUCUGCAGAGAGCCCAGGUGAUUAAAAAGUGCUUAGGACCGAGGUGAUUAUAAAUUACAGCCAAAGUUGGGAUCUUGUUUUACAAAUUCUGGAUCACAUUGCUUGUUGUGCUCCAUUGAUUCUGCCUGGGGAAAUCCUGUGCUGUUCUACUCAUAAAUUCUCUGCUGUAUGAAUCAUAAUAUCCAGUUAAUAAAGCUUUAAUUACAG
Molecule: long non-coding RNA, 1392 nt
Organism: Haemorhous mexicanus (house finch)
Lineage: Eukaryota; Metazoa; Chordata; Aves; Passeriformes; Fringillidae
Exons: 3
Source: RefSeq, a predicted model, not a curated record